This 415-nucleotide ribosomal RNA is filed under the name uncultured bacterium. RNAcentral describes it as "bacterial SSU rRNA". It matches the Rfam family "Bacterial small subunit ribosomal RNA", at positions 356 to 767 of the family's 1533-position model. The record is from RNAcentral.
GAGGAAUAUUGGUCAAUGGGCGCAAGCCUGAACCAGCCAUCCCGCGUGCAGGAAGACGGCGCUAUGCGUUGUAAACUGCUUUUCCAGGGAGAGAAACUUGCGCACGUGUUGCGCAAUUGACGGUACCCUGGGAAUAAGCAUCGGCUAACUCCGUGCCAGCAGCCGCGGUAAUACGGAGGAUGCGAGCGUUAUCCGGAUUCAUUGGGUUUAAAGGGUGCGUAGGCGGACUAUUAAGUCAGUGGUGAAAUCCUGCAGCUUAACUGCAGAACUGCCAUUGAUACUGAUAGCCUUGAGUUUGGUUAAGGUAGGCGGAAUGUGUAAUGUAGCGGUGAAAUGCUUAGAUAUUACACAGAACACCAAUUGCGUAGGCAGCUUACUGAGCCGACACUGACGCUGAGGCACGAAAGCGUGGGGA